GAAAUGCGAUAAUUAAUGUGAAUUGCAGAAUUCAGUGAAUCAUCGAGUCUUUGAACGCACAUUGCGCCCCCUGGUAUUCCGGGGGGCAUGCCUGUCCGAGCGUCAUUGCUGCCCUCAAGCACGGCUUGUGUGUUGGGCUUCCGUCACUGGCAACGGGGACGGGCCCAAAAGGCAGUGGCGGCACCAUGUCUGGUCCUCGAGCGUAUGGGGCUUUGUCACCCGCUCCCGUAGGUCCAGCUGGCAGCUAGCCUCGCAACCAAUCUUUUUAACCAGGUUGACCUCGGAUCAGGUAGGGAUACCCGCUGAACUUAAGC
Molecule: unclassified non-coding RNA, 314 nt
Filed under: plant metagenome
Description: partial contains 5.8S ribosomal RNA, internal transcribed spacer 2, and large subunit ribosomal RNA
Rfam family: 5.8S ribosomal RNA (bases 1-105)
Source: RNAcentral